UCCCGGUUGGCCCGGGCAGUCUCAUUUGAAAAAUACAACAAAUGAUAAGGGUUGCGCUCGUUGCGGGACUUAACCCAACAUCUCACGACACGAGCUGACGACGGCCAUGCAGCACCUGUCACCAGGUUCCCGAAGGCACUCCACUGUUUCCAGCGGAUUCCUGGGAUGUCAAACCUUGGUAAGGUUCUUCGCGUAUCUUCGAAUUAAACCACAUGCUCCACCGCUUGUGCGGGUCCCCGUCAAUUCCUUUGAGUUUUAAUCUUGCGAUCGUACUCCCCAGGCGGCAUACUUAACGCGUUAGCUACUUAGCACAGGGGGUCGAUACCCCAUACUAAUAGUAUGCAUCGUUUACGGCGUGGACUAC
Molecule: unclassified non-coding RNA, 364 nt
Filed under: uncultured bacterium
Lineage: Bacteria
Description: contains 16S-23S intergenic spacer region
Source: RNAcentral